CAGUCGCCGCGGUAAUACGAAGGGGGCUAGCGUUGCUCGGAAUCACUGGGCGUAAAGGGUGCGUAGGCGGGUUUCUAAGUCAGGGGUGAAAUCCUGGAGCUCAACUCCAGAACUGCCCUUGAUACUGGAAGUCUUGAGUAUGGGAGAGGUGAGUGGAACUGCGAGUGUAGAGGUGAAAUUCGUAGAUAUUCGCAAGAACACCAGUGGCGAAGGCGGCUCACUGGCCCAUAACUGACGCUGAGGCACGAAAGCGUGGGGAGCAAUCAGGAUUAGAUACCCCGGUGUCCCUGUCUCUUAUACA
Molecule: ribosomal RNA, 301 nt
Filed under: uncultured bacterium
Lineage: Bacteria
Description: partial 16S ribosomal RNA
Rfam family: Bacterial small subunit ribosomal RNA
Source: RNAcentral